This 432-nucleotide ribosomal RNA is filed under the name uncultured bacterium. Its description in RNAcentral is "partial 16S ribosomal RNA". It matches the Rfam family "Bacterial small subunit ribosomal RNA", at positions 29 to 506 of the family's 1533-position model. The record is from RNAcentral.
AACGAACGCUGGCGGCAUGCCUAACACAUGCAAGUCGAACGAGACCUUCGGGUCUAGUGGCGCACGGGUGCGUAACGCGUGGGAACCUGCCCUUAGGUUCGGAAUAACUCCCCGAAAGGGGUGCUAAUACCGGAUAAUGUCUUCGGCCCAAAGAUUUAUCGCCUUUGGAUGGGCCCGCGUUGGAUUAGCUAGUUGGUAGGGUAAAAGCCUACCAAGGCGACGAUCCAUAGCUGGUCUGAGAGGAUGAUCAGCCACACUGGGACUGAGACACGGCCCAGACUCCUACGGGAGGCAGCAGUGGGGAAUAUUGGACAGUGGGCGAAAGCCUGAUCCAGCAAUGCCGCGUGAGUGAUGAAGGCCUUAGGGUUGUAAAGCUCUUUUACCCGGGAUGAUAAUGACAGUACCGGGAGAAUAAGCUCCGGCUAACUCCGU